GGGAGAAAUUUUACUGUGUUAUUUCUAUUAAAGGAAAACAUUUACUCUAUUGACAUGGCUAUACUGGCAUAACACUGCUACUAUGGGUAGCUGGUGCAUACUAUAUUUAAAAAGGAUAUUUUCCAGGGAAAAUCAUAUCUGUCUUAACAACCACCCGUUAGUUAUCUGAUUGAGAAGGUCCUAGGCAAUAUUACUUGGGGAAGUUGAAUGGCUUGCAGAAAUCAUGAAGCAGACCAGUAGCAAAAAAAGAAAUAGCACCUCACAAGCCUCAGUGUAGGCUUGAGGUCUCCUGUGCAAGGUUUGAUUGUUGCAGUUGUGCUGGUAUAGUUCACAUGGGACACAUGUUAUAGAAUGUUUUACUGCAAGAGCACCUUUGCUUACUAAGUUUUCUAUGCCUAACACACAGGUUCUACCAGGCUUCCCCAGUUCCACUCAGAGAACAGCAAGUCCUGAAAUGUUUGUGGCAGGGAAUGUCAGAAACUGACAUUUGACUAUGAAGUGAGUUGCACUUAUUCUUGUCUUGAUAUUAAAAUGGUCACUGCAGUUGGAUGUAUGCACAACCCAAUCAAGAAAUGUUUCUGUGGACUUAGGUGUUUUUUUUCUUUUCAGUCCUCUUCUGCUGCAAGGGUUGGGCUAUGCGAGAAAUUCAGUAAUUGUUCUUCAGUUCUGCCGUGCUCUGCUCCGUGACUCACUGUACGUCAAAAUUUUCUGUCAGCUGUAGCUAUGGGAAUUACCAUGGUUCCUUGAAAUCCUUUUAGAAACAAGACAGUCAUCCCAUGAAACCUUUACCGAAAUCAAGUUUAUUUAUAUCUUUUCUAUUUUUGCCUUUGAGAGUGAUUUUUUUUUUUUCCCUCUCAACAUUGUUACAUUUUCCAUCAGUUUUAUGGCCUUCUGACAAAUCACUGACCUAAAACCACACUGUUUGCCCCCUGAUUUCAUGCCUCAUUAUGUAUUUGGAGAGAAAAUGGUUCAGUUGUCUGCAAUUGUUAGGCCUGUUAGCAGCUACCCGCAACUACUGUGAAUAGUCCCGGUCUAAACCUAGUAGUUUUUGACUUGCAGAAAUGAGUGUAAACCCAUCACAUAUUGUAUUAGGCUGUGCUUUAUAGAAGUAUUCAGACAAUCAAAUUUUGGAUGCUUUGUCCUCUGUCGUUGUUGUUUUGAAAGAUAAACAGGGAAAGACUUUGCUAAAUGAUGAAAGGAAAGUGUUUCCCACCCCGAAUAAAAACCACAGUAAAACCUGUUCAACCUGAGCCCACUUUGUGGAUGUACUUUGGAUUAGCAAAGCCAAACCAAGGCUAGUGCUCAUUAUGCUUGAGCUAAGCAGUGUAUGAGUCGGUCUACAAUUUAUCUAGUGUUGCACAGUAUAUUAGGAGUUGCAGCAAGUUUUCUUUAUAGAUUUUAUUGAAUCCAGGUAACAUAAGAGGACACCUCAGCUUCCAGAGGAAGUGAAUGUAAGUUAAUGCUAGCAGGUGUGCAGACAGAAGAAAGUGUAACUAAUCCUAAAGGUGACCUAGAAGAAGUUCUUAGUUUUGACAGCAAUUAUAAGCUUUGGUUUCAAAAAUUAAAUCUUUGCAUUUUACGCCUUUAUUGAGAGUUGAAAUACAGGGGAGGUGAUACCAUGGAGCACACAAUUAAAAUUUCUUUGUGAAGUUCAGUGACAUUGUGUACUUCAUUGAGACUUCUUGUUUCUCUAGGUUUUUAGUGCCAUUCCAGUGCCAGCAUGGUGGCUGAGGGGAAGGGGGAUGUCCUGUGUGUCCCCAAAGUGUUGAGGGGAGGCUCCAAGCGUGUGUCCAGUCCCAGGUUCCCAGGAGCAACUGGAGCCUGCUCCAGGAUCAGCGGUGAGUUGCUUUGAGUGUCCAGGGUACAUUUUAUUCUGUAUCUCAACACCCUUUGGAAUAUUUUCAAACAGCUUCUUGAGGCAGCUCAUACUAUCAGCUGGCUUUACUUCUUCAUGUCAUAACAUUCUUCUCUUUCCAGCCAGCCUCAAAUGUUCUUUUAAAGUUUUUCCCCUGGGUAGGUUGAGUACCAGCUUCACCAUAAUGGUGUGCUGUCAUUUUAUCUGUAAUGGUUUUCUCAUGUCUGUCUCUCACAGCAUGUUAGUCUGCUGGUUUGAUUCUGACAAAAUUCCACAUUUCCCCAGUAAUAUUUCUGAUAUAAGCAUUCCCUGUCCUCUAAGGAAUCUUUGUUGCUAUCAGAGGUCAAAGGUUUUGUUUCUUGUGUCCGUAAUAUGAAUUUGCUAUGAUCUAGAACCAUUCUUACAGUGAAAAAUAAAUUAUUCACCAUUUAAAUAAAUUUUUGUUUGGAAAGCCCAUGGUUUCCCUGAACUUUAUAGUUGGCAAAUUGUUAGGAGUUUUUGCUUCUAUUUCUUGCUUUGGAUCAGCUCAGUGCAUUUCUCAGCUGAUUGAAUUGCUUUGUACAUCCUUGUCAGUACUCAUUUUUCAUUGUCAGGGCACUGUGUUGAUUCUCUGUUUAUGUAGUUCCAUCAGUGUUUCUGUGUGCCUGAGAAUAGAAUAUUGUUUUAGUCACUAGCAAGGUAUUUAUCCUCAUUUUUUUUUUUGGCAUUGAGACAUUUUAAAAAUUCAGUGAGAUGUUUUUGUAGUUGCUGAGCCAUCCAGCCUCCUCCAAAUCUGGUUGCGUUAGGAGGCAUGACACACUUUUGCACAGCUGAUAAAAAUGUGCUCAGUGGUGACUGAAAUCCCAGAGAAGUCAGGCUUUCACCACGUCGUGGGGUUCAUUUUGAUUCUGACAUUUUCUUCAAGCAGUUCUGAAGUGCAAAGAACAGUUCUGUUACUGGGAGUGAUACCAUUUUAUCCAGACUCCAGGUACUCAUUCCUUAACAGGAACAAAAAGAUUCCCAUUAUCUGAUUGUCCAGCUGAUGUCUAGUCAUCUGGACAUGAUUUCCAGCUGUGAGACAAUUGCUAACUGCUUUGAACACAUCUCCUUGUACUUUUUCAGUUGUUAUUUUCCAAGGAGAAACUGCCUUUUUCUCUCACAAUUUUAGUGUUUUAAUUUUAGUUUUAAAAUAUUCAUAAUUGUGUAGUGACACUUAUCUUUCAGAUAUUUGAAAUUCAGAUAAUCCUUUCAGAACAUGUUUGUUUUUUAUGACUUUAUUGCCCUCCAGCUGUAGGAGACAAACAUUUGGGCCAUUUUUUUAUGUUGAAUUCAUGUUAUUUUAAAUACAUAAACAUACCACUGGAACAGUUCUUUAAUUAUUCACUUUAAUAGGCUGUGACCAAAGUGUUGUUUUCCUUUCAUGUAAUUUCCUUUUCUUUUCUGUAAUCUCAGUGUUUAUGGUGGUUUUUAUUGCCUUUUUUUCCCCUUUAUUUUGAGGCCUAUGCAUAUUACUUUUUUCCAGCCUCUUUGCAGUACAAUGCUAUAAUGAGUGGAAGAAUUCUAAAAUUUUAAGAGUCUCCAUGACUCUUACUCUUGAUGACAAACAUUCAUUUACUAUCUGUGGAUUUUGGAAUAUUAGGAAGUCUUUGGAGAAGUCCUUAGUGUCUCAAAAUUCAUUAGCUUUGUAUGAGUGUCUGAUUGUCCAAUUUUGGCAGCCAUGAGCCCCACUUAUGGUCUGCAACUUGCAUGUGUCAAGUGCUGCAUAAAAAAAAAAAAAA
This is a long non-coding RNA of Taeniopygia guttata (zebra finch), 3612 nucleotides long. The record is from Ensembl. NCBI's taxonomy places the organism in Eukaryota, Metazoa, Chordata, Aves, Passeriformes, Estrildidae.